This is a long non-coding RNA of Uranotaenia lowii, 1738 nucleotides long. RefSeq lists it as uncharacterized. The record is from RefSeq and is a predicted model, not a curated record. NCBI's taxonomy places the organism in Eukaryota, Metazoa, Arthropoda, Insecta, Diptera, Culicidae. The transcript is spliced from 3 exons.
AACUAGGAUUUCGCUGGUUUGCAGGAUGGCGCCGGAUGAAUUAACACACAAAUCCACACAAUCCAGCAUAGGCGUUUUGGUACUGAUCGUUGCCAUCCUGCAAAUGUUCUAAUAAUUUUAGUACUGAGCAUGCCAUCCUGCAAAAUGCACGCAGCCGUUCUUGAAAACGUCAGAAAAAUGUUUUGAUUUCGAUUUCUUUUACUGUCGAUUUCGUAAUAUUGGCUUUGGUCAAUUUGCUUCCGAAAAAUUAAUUUCCAGACAUUUUCCUGUUCGAAUUUUGAAACAGAUAGGCAUACCUCUGUAAAUAUAGACCGCAGGGCGAUGCAAAAGAUCACCGAGGCCUGCUACCGAAUGCGAUCCGAUUGCAUGAAUGAUAAUAUUCAUGCCAGGAGUGGCAGUGUUGAAAAAGGAACUACCGCGAAUCAAGAUUGCUUUCCCGGAUUACUCGAUUUUCGGUCGAUCCAUCCGAAACGAUGUUAUCGGUGCAGCUGCGAUCAAAAGAUCCCAAAACAAACCAUUCGAAAGCUGAGACCGGUCGACAGGUGCUUUGCUGCUUAUCUCCCAAAUUGGUGGCGAAAUACGGAUCGAUUAUUUGCAAUACCUGAGAAACCCAAACAACUGGUCAGAAUUCGAAUAACGACAAAUAGAAGUGAUGAUCUACUACAAUGUGGUACAUGGAGAUUCUAUGAUACUGAAUGCAUUCAGAAAGCUACCCUCGAACCGUUAUCUUGGCUGUUUCAUUGCAGAAUAAUCUUCUUGGAAAUAGCCAAUCGUGAUUGCGCUUCAUCUGAGGCAUGGUACUGAGCGUGGCCCAUUGCCAUAUGCCAUUCCUUUAGAGGGUUAACUUGGAUCAAGAUAGGCAUACACAGGAAAAGUAUAAUGAGGCACCAGGAAACUUCAAGUUUGCUCUCCUGGCCGACAAAUGCUGCGGCUGGUUUUGAAAUAGUUGAAAAAAGAAAAGAUUGAAAGUUCUAGUCCUGUGCGGAUGAAGACCAGCCUUGUAAGCUUUCGUAUAGUCAACAUGCCAGAAACACUAGUUCAUCGGUGGAAUGAGUUCUGGACGCAAAACCCGUCACGACAAACAUCAGUACCAAAUAUUCUCAUAAACGAAGAUCUGAAAAUGUACUCCAUUGCGUUGUCUCUAAUAUUGUUGAUUUCUUUCCCCAGCGGGUUACGUUGUUCAAAGGGUGGCUAAAUUGAAUAAUUUUCUUUUAAAGGUUAGCAUCGAAAAGCAAACUGGUUCUUUAUACGCACAUACCUACAUCUCUGAAUUUUGGAAAAUGCUUUGUUAGUCGAUACACAAAGAUUUUACGUGGUUUAACAUUUUCCAACCGAUAUCAGAACAAACCUCUUGAUCGUGUUCAACUGUUUCAUGUAAGCCAUUACGGAAGAGUUAUCAAGCUUUUAAAUCUUAGUGUCCAUCAUGAUGAAGAGCAGUAAGUUAUUUUAAUACAAUUUGUAAGCAACUUUUUAUUACUUUAGGGCGGUUUUGAGGCUUUCGUUUUGAAAAGAUUUGUUUUUUUCGUUUCCAUUAAAACAAUAAACUGCAUUAAGUUCAAUUCAAUAAACUAUUCCUUAGCGUUCCGGCGUCGUGGCAGCCAGUCUCAAGUUGAUGCUCCAGAAAGGGAUUAGCAGUAUGCAUAUCAUAAGCCGGUGGGUACGGGGUACCAUCAGCAUCCUUUGGAAUGCAUGAACAAGGUUUCCAUCGUCCUAGAAUAUCUGAUACAGGAAUUCUUAG